This 372-nucleotide ribosomal RNA is filed under the name uncultured bacterium. Its description in RNAcentral is "bacterial SSU rRNA". It matches the Rfam family "Bacterial small subunit ribosomal RNA", at positions 523 to 898 of the family's 1533-position model. The record is from RNAcentral.
AUACGUAGGGGGCGAGCGUUGUCCGGAUUUAUUGGGCGUAAAGGGUUCGUAGGCGGUUAUUUAAGUCAGAUGUGAAAGGCACAGGCUUAACCUGUGUAAGCAUUUGAAACUGGAUAACUUGAGUUAAGGAGAGGAAAGUGGAAUUCCUAGUGUAGCGGUGAAAUGCGUAGAUAUUAGGAGGAAUACCAGUGGCGAAGGCGACUUUCUGGACUUAUACUGACGCUGAGGAACGAAAGCGUGGGGAGCAAACAGGAGUAGAUACCCUGGUAGUCCACGCCGUAAACGAUGAGUGCUAGGUGUGGGGGGUCAAACCUCGGUGCCGCAGCUAACGCAUUAAGCACUCCGCCUGGGGAGUACGUACGCAAGUAUGAA